Molecule: unclassified non-coding RNA, 646 nt
Filed under: Hevea brasiliensis (rubber tree)
Lineage: Eukaryota; Viridiplantae; Streptophyta; Magnoliopsida; Malpighiales; Euphorbiaceae
Source: RNAcentral
GUACCACUGUUGAAGAAGGAUAACCAGGAGGUGUCUGCAUCAUCUCUUCUAAUGUCAUGCCCUUAAUCAUCUUCUUAGAAGGCACCACACGGAGAGCUUGUGAAGCUGCACAAACUACACUAUACGAAAUGGACUUGAAGCCUAAUUCUUGACCAAAGGAAGCAACCCAAUAGGCAAAAUCAUACAACACAAAUUUAGGCUUGAUAGUGCCCAAAAUGGUUUUAACUUGGUCUUGUGUUUGGUCCAUGGCUGUGCAAAGAUGAUUAUGAAGAGUAAAGGGUACAUCAGAGACUGUUUCAGCACCAGGAGGGAGGCCAUCCACACGAGGAACCAUCAAAGGAAAGAAGUGAAUGAGAUUGGGGUGUUGGUUGAGUUGGGUUAGCUUGGGUUCUGCUCCUUUGGGCAACAAGAAAGAGACUUUGUAGCCUUUCUCCGCAAGCUUGUUAGCAAGGUGAAGAUAUGGUAUGAAAUGGCCAUACGCAAACCAUGGAAACAUAGCUACAUGAUUUGAGCUCAUGGUAUCUGCCAUUAUUUUUCUGUAGGCCAAUGAUUUUACAAUUUUUUUCGCCUCUAUGAGUUUACAACAGAGAGAAGAUCAGUGUACCGACGGGUCAGCUUGCUGGAAAUGGGCAGCCUUCCACAUGAA